GGCCAUUGCUAUCGGAGUCCGAUUUAGCCAUGCUAGUCGCGCGGGUUCAGACCCGCGGCAAAUAGCUCAGUAACACGUGGCCAAUCUACCCUAUGGACGGGAAUAACCUCGGGAAACUGAGGCUAAUACUCGAUACAGCUCGCAUGCUGGAGUGCAGCGAGCUGGAAACGCCCCGGCGCCAUAAGAUGUGGCUGCGGCCGAUUAGGUAGACGGUGGGGUAACGGCCCACCGUGCCGAUAAUCGGUACGGGUCAUGAGAGUGAGAGCCCGGAGACGGUAUCUGAGACAAGAUACCGGGCCCUACCGGGCGCAGCAGGCGCGAAACCUUUACACUGCACGACAGUGCGAUAAGGGGACUCCCAGUGCGAGGGCAUACAGUCCUCGCUUUUCUCACCGUAAGGUGGUGCAGGAACAAGUGCUGGGCAAGACCGGUGCCAGCCGCCGCGGUAAUACCGGCAGCACGAGUGAUGGCCGAUCUUAUUGGGCCUAAAGCGUCCGUAGCC
RNAcentral lists this ribosomal RNA (502 nucleotides) under uncultured Halobacteriales MT20. RNAcentral's name for it is "bacterial SSU rRNA". It matches the Rfam family "Archaeal small subunit ribosomal RNA", at positions 22 to 526 of the family's 1478-position model. The record is from RNAcentral. Lineage: Archaea; Methanobacteriati; Methanobacteriota; Halobacteria; Halobacteriales.